GCGACAAUCCGGAAAUGGGCGGAGCCCAGUCGCUGGGUUGGUUCCUGUGGCGCUAGGUGGGCUGGGAGAGAGAGGCUUGUGGGAGAUUGGGACAGAGAAUGGGAGAGGAAAGUGGAGUCAAACCAGUUCUACUCCAAGAUUGUAACCUAAGGAUUAUCCACAGAGGGUUUGACUUCCAUCUACCGAGGAUAUACCAGGA
Molecule: long non-coding RNA, 199 nt
Organism: Neofelis nebulosa (Clouded leopard)
Lineage: Eukaryota; Metazoa; Chordata; Mammalia; Carnivora; Felidae
Exons: 3
Source: RefSeq, a predicted model, not a curated record